UACAGAGGGGGCAAGCGUUGUUCGGAAUUACUGGGCGUAAAGGGCGCGUAGGCGGCCUUCUAAGUCGAACGUGAAAUCCCCGGGCUCAACCCGGGAACUGCGUCCGAUACUGGAAGGCUUGAAUCCGGGAGAGGGAUGUGGAAUUCCAGGUGUAGCGGUGAAAUGCGUAGAUAUGCGGAGGAACACCAGUGGCGAAGGCGGCCUCCUGGUACACUCCUGACACUCAGACGCGAAAGCUAGGGGAGCGAACGGG
This 253-nucleotide ribosomal RNA is filed under the name uncultured prokaryote. RNAcentral's name for it is "partial 16S ribosomal RNA". It matches the Rfam family "Bacterial small subunit ribosomal RNA", at positions 524 to 776 of the family's 1533-position model. The record is from RNAcentral.